Molecule: transfer RNA, 67 nt
Filed under: Pirellulaceae bacterium
Lineage: Bacteria; Pseudomonadati; Planctomycetota; Planctomycetia; Pirellulales; Pirellulaceae
Description: tRNA-Trp
Rfam family: tRNA
About the family: Transfer RNA (tRNA) molecules are approximately 80 nucleotides in length.
Source: RNAcentral
GUUAGCUCAGUGGAUAGAGCACCAGAUUCCAACUCUGGCUGUGACGGGUUCGAAUCCCGUACCAACU